Molecule: long non-coding RNA, 4696 nt
Organism: Eriocheir sinensis (Chinese mitten crab)
Lineage: Eukaryota; Metazoa; Arthropoda; Malacostraca; Decapoda; Varunidae
Exons: 3
Source: RefSeq, a predicted model, not a curated record
GGGAGAGGGAGAGAGAGAGAGAAUAAGGGAAAGGGAGAGAGAGAGAGAGAAAAAAAAAUGGUGAUGGGUGUGUUGGCUUAAUGGUGAUGGAUGUGUUGGCUUAAUGGUGAUGGAUGUGUUGGCUUAAUGGUGAUGGAUGUGUUGGCUUAAUGGUGAUGGAUGUGUUGGCUUAAUGGUGAUGGAUGUGUUGGCUUAAUGGUGAUGGAUGUGUUGGCUUAAUGGUGAUGGAUGUGUUGGCUUAAUGGUGAUGGGGGUAUUGACUUAAUGGUGAUGGAUGUGUUGGCUUAAUGGUGAUGGAUGUGUUGGCUUAAUGGUGAUGGAUGUGUUGGCUUAAUGGUGAUGGGGGUAUUGACUUAAUGGUGAUGGAUGUGUUGGCUUAAUGGUGAUGGAUGUGUUGGCUUAAUGGUGAUGGGGGUGUUGGCUUAAUGGUGAUGGAUGUGUUGGCUUAAUGGUGAUGGAUGUGUUGGCUUAAUGGUGAUGGGGGUGUUGGCUUAAUGGUGAUGGAUGUGUUGGCUUAAUGGUGAUGGGGGUAUUGACUUAAUGGUGAUGGAUGUGUUGGCUUAAUGGUGAUGGAUGUGUUGGCUUAAUGGUGAUGGAUGUGUUGGCUUCAUGGUGAUGGAUGUGUUGGCUUCAUGGUGAUGGAUGUGUUGGCUUAAUGGUGAUGGAUGUGUUGGCUUAAUGGUGAUGGAUGUGUUGGCUUAAUGGUGAUGGAUGUGUUGGCUUAAUGGUGAUGGAUGUGUUGGCUUAAUGGUGAUGGAUGUGUUGGCUUAAUGGUGAUGGUGGUAUUGACUUAAUGGUGAUGGAUGUGUUGGCUUAAUGGUGAUGGAUGUGUUGGCUUAAUGGUGAUGGAUGUGUUGGCUUAAUGGUGAUGGAUGUGUUGGCUUAAUGGUGAUGGAUGUGUUGGCUUAAUGGUGAUGGAUGUGUUGGCUUAAUGGUGAUGGGGGUAUUGACUUAAUGGUGAUGGAUGUGUUGGCUUAAUGGUGAUGGAUGUGUUGGCUUAAUGGUGAUGGAUGUGUUGGCUUAAUGGUGAUGGCUGUGUUGGCUUAAUGGUGAUGGAUGUGUUGGCUUAAUGGUGAUGGGGGUAUUGACUUAAUGGUGAUGGAUGUGUUGGCUUAAUGGUGAUGGAUGUGUUGGCUUAAUGGUGAUGGAUGUGUUGGCUUAAUGGUGAUGGAUGUGUUGGCUUAAUGGUGAUGGAUGUGUUGUCUUAAUGGUGAUGGGGGUAUUGACUUAAUGGUGAUGGAUGUGUUGGCUUAAUGGUGAUGGAUGUGUUGGCUUAAUGGUGAUGGGGGUGUUGGCUUAAUGGUGAUGGAUGUGUUGGCUUAAUGGUGAUGGAUGUGUUGGCUUAAUGGUGAUGGAUGUGUUGGCUUAAUGGUGAUGGAUGUGUUGGCUUAAUGGUGAUGGGUGUUGGCUUAAUGGUGAUGGGGGUGUUGGCUUAAUGGUGAUGGAUGUGUUGGCUUAAUGGUGAUGGGGGUAUUGACUUAAUGGUGAUGGAUGUGUUGGCUUAAUGGUGAUGGAUGUGUUGGCUUAAUGGUGAUGGAUGUGUUGGCUUAAUGGUGAUGGAUGUGUUGGCUUAAUGGUGAUGGAUGUGUUGGCUUAAUGGUGAUGGAUGUGUUGGCUUAAUGGUGAUGGAUGUGUUGGCUUAAUGGUGAUGGAUGUGUUGGCUUAAUGGUGAUGGAUGUGUUGGCUUAAUGGUGAUGGAUGUGUUGGCUUAAUGGUGAUGGAUGUGUUGGCUUAAUGGUGAUGGAUGUGUUGGCUUAAUGGUGAUGGAUGUGUUGGCUUAAUGGUGAUGGAUGUGUUGGCUUCAUGGUGAUGGAUGUGUUGGCUUAAUGGUGAUGGAUGUGUUGGCUUAAUGGUGAUGGAUGUGUUGGCUUAAUGGUGAUGGAUGUGUUGGCUUAAUGGUGAUGGAUGUGUUGGCUUAAUGGUGAUGGAUGUGUUGGCUUAGCAAGAUGUAGGUAACAGGAGAGAGACACGGGGAGAGAUGGAGAGAAAAAGAGAUGAUAGAGAGAGUCACUGGAGAGAAUGUCAUGCAGUAUGUAUAUGGACCAGCCUCGUGUGUCAUGCAGUAUGUUUUCUGUCAGAUAUGUUUUGUCUUCCCAGAGCUGCCGUGACAGAGGCCGGACUCGUGUGGGACCGCGGAGAUGCCGGGUCAAGCAGGGGAGACAUCACGGAGAGUCACACCAAGAUAGAUAGGUCAAUUUAGGAUGCCGCGGACGGACCAUGCAGAGGACUCAUCGCGACGACACCAACGGUUUGGUUAAGUGGGUUCUCUUGUGUGUGCGUCUGUGUGUGAAUGGCAGGCCUGUCGUAUGAUUGUGUGUGUGUGUGCGUUGGCGUUAUGCCUUCGCACUAUUAUUUUGUUAGGAUGUAUUUUUGUGUGUGAACUUUUUGCACGUAAUCUUUUUUUAUACCCAUAGCUAGCGUUUGUUUGUGUGGCAGUGUUCCGGGAGAUGGACGCCGGGGGACAUGGGCUUGGGGAGGCGCACAUGACCUCCUCUGUCCGUGACCUCUUCAGCUGGGGAGACCGGUAAGCAUUUUGAUAUAGUUGUGUGGAUAAUGGAUAUUGUUUUUUACAGCUAAAGAAACCACUCUAGGGCAACGAGAAAAUAGGUUUAGAAAAAGCCCGUUAACCCCUUCCCGGCAGCAGGGCUGACAUGAUUUUCCACCAAGUUUAGUAGAAAACACUCACUUGUCAAUCCUGUGUUGUGAGAAUUAGUGUUGGAACACUCUCAUACACGGGAGAUUUUAGUGCGGCUGGUGGUCGCAGUGAGCGUUUAGCAUCACCAGCAAAUACGCCUAACGCCCGCUGCAAGCGUUUAGCAAUGAAAGGGUUAAGUUAGACUAGUUAUAUGUAUAUUGAUACAUUCAAAAAGUCCCAAUUUCCAAACGUCUCUAUAUAGAUCCUCCGCAGGGAAGGGCUUAACCCGUGGGCUUGGGCCGUGGGGAAGCCGAGAAGUGGCCGGGAAAUGGCAAAAUUACAUUGCAUUUUGAGACUAAGAAAAGAGCAUGGAACGUACAUCAGAGCACCUGCUCCUCUCAUAACUAUAAAGCCAUUAAGAAUAUUUCUUUUACUCAAACUCCACUCUGUGUGGUGUUUGUCACAAAAUAAAGAGUCUUGUGACGCAUGACAUCUAGCCGAGAGUCGCUUGUUGUCUACUUUAAAGAAUUUGACGAGUGAUUACUGUAUGGAUAGCUAAUUCAGUCUGCCGUGACCUUACUGCACCACUUGUCAUGCAUGGUAGGUUGCGGUAUGCCACAACCACCUACAAUUAGCUUGAAUCAGGGGUUUUAUGGCGAGCCCUUUUUAGGGUCCACCGUACCACAGCCAUGACUCGUGAAACCCCAGAAAAGGGUCUGCCGAUGUUCUUGGGUUAAUCGCUGCUCCUUCAGAAACAAAAGUUAUGAGCGGCUGAAAGGGAGGUCAGUUUCGGGAGGAGAGGCGUCUCGAUACGUCAUUACUCGUGAGAGAAUUCAAGUCGAAGGCAGGAGGAGAUAUAGACACAGGAAGGGUGCCCCAGAGUUUACCAGUGUAAGGGAUGAAAGAAUGAAGAUGUUGGUUAACUCUUGCAUAAUGGGUUUGGACAGUAUAGGGAUGAAAGAGUGGAGAUGCUGGUUGACUCUUGCAUAAUGGGUUUGGACAGCACAGGGAUGAAAGAAUGAAGAUGCUGGUUAACUCUUGCAUAAUGGGUUUGGACAGCACAGGGAUGAAAGAAUGAAGAUGCUGGUUAACUCUUGCAUAAUGGGUUUGGACAGUAUAGGGAUGAAAGAGUGAAGAUGCUGGUUGACUCUUGCAUAAUGGGUUUGGACAGUAUAGGGAUGAAAGAGUGGAGAUGCUGGUUGACUCUUGCAUAAUGGGUUUGGACAGCACAGGGAUGAAAGAAUGAAGAUGCUGGUUAACUCUUGCAUAAUGGGUUUGGACAGUAUAGGGAUGAAAGAGUGGAGAUGCUGGUUGACUCUUGCAUAAUGGGUUUGGACAGCACAGGGAUGAAAGAAUGAAGAUGCUGGUUAACUCUUGCAUAAUGGGUUUGGACAGUAUAGGGAUGAAAGAGUGGAGAUGCUGGUUAACUCUUGCAUAAUGGGUUUGGACAGUAUAGGGAUGAAAGAGUGGAGAUGCUGGUUGACUCUUGCAUAAUGGGUUUGGACAGCACAGGGAUGAAAGAAUGAAGAUGCUGGUUAACUCUUGCAUAAUGGGUUUGGACAGUAUAGGGAUGAAAGAGUGGAGAUGCUGGUUGACUCUUGCAUAAUGGGUUUGGACAGCACAGGGAUGAAAGAAUGAAGAUGCUGGUUAACUCUUGCAUAAGGGGUUUGGACAGUAUAGGGAUGAAAGAGUGGAGAUGCUGGUUAACUCUUGCAUAAUGGGUUUGGACAGUAUAGGGAUGAAAGAGUGGAGAUGCUGGUUGACUCUUGCAUAAUGGGUUUGGACAGCACAGGGAUGAAAGAAUGAAGAUGCUGGUUAACUCUUGCAUAAUGGGUUUGGACAGUAUAGGGAUGAAAGAGUGGAGAUGCUGGUUAACUCUUGCAUAAUGGGUUUGGACAGUAUAGGGAUGAAAGAGUGGAGAUGCUGGUUGACUCUUGCAUAAUGGGUUUGGACAGCACAGGGAUGAAAGAAUGAAGAUGCUGGUUAACUCUUGCAUAAUGGGUUUGGACAGUAUAGGGAUGAAAGAGUGAAGAUGCUGGUUUACUCUUGCAUAAUGGGUUU